CGGUCUUUUUCCAAGACAAAUACGCUUGCUGUUUUAUCAAAAGACCCAGAUGCCAACCUCCUGCCGUCGCAACUCCAUGCUACGGAAUGAACUUUAGCGGUGGUGCUUCUGCUGCAAAAAGUAAGCAGUGACUUUACUGAAAGUCUUACGCUUUCCUCAGCCUGCCUGCCUUCCUGGUUGCCCAGGGACCUCUGGAGCCGACCUUCAACACUCUGCAUCCGUGUUCCUGUUCCCGUUGAGUGGGUUGGGCCCUGCGGAGAGGCUGGGAGAGUGUGUGGCAUGCGUGUCCAACUCCACACUCAGGCUAGGGUUAAGAUGGCUGAUUCCGUUGGGUUGUGGUGCCCAUUUCUCAGGCUUCUGCUUCUCAGGCUCCUCCCCACUGUUGGAACACACAACAAGGGCCUCAGAACCACUCCAUGUUUAAUCCUCUCCAUCAUCUCAUUUACUGCCUUCACUUUGACGUCAUCUGUACCUCCUUCUGCACCUCCCUCUACAGGACAAGGAGAGAGACAGAGGGUUACAUGGACAAUAUUGUAAAGAUGUGUGAUUUUAAAAUAAAAAUAAAAUUCCUCAA
This is a long non-coding RNA of Salmo salar (Atlantic salmon), 574 nucleotides long. RefSeq lists it as uncharacterized. Lineage: Eukaryota; Metazoa; Chordata; Actinopteri; Salmoniformes; Salmonidae. The record is from RefSeq and is a predicted model, not a curated record.